RNAcentral lists this long non-coding RNA (203 nucleotides) under Mytilus galloprovincialis (Mediterranean mussel). The record is from RNAcentral. Lineage: Eukaryota; Metazoa; Mollusca; Bivalvia; Mytilida; Mytilidae.
UGUUGCCAUGUUUAUUGAUUAAGGGCACAAAUUCUUUUAUACAUUAAACAAAUGAAAUUGUUAUACUGACUGCUAGAAAUAAGAACACUUUUUAUAAGAUAUGGUAGUAUUGCCACCAAUCAAAAAGUGUCAUAAACUAAAAAGAAACCCACUAUAGGUCAGGGUAUAGCCUUCAACAAUGAGAACAACUCAUCUCGUUUAAU